CGCAAGAGAAAUGAUUGACUCGUAGAACUCGUCAAAACUUUCUCCCUCUUUUUGUUUGCGUCUAUCGAUGCUCGCUCUUAUCUGUAGGUCGGUUCGUUCGUCCUUAAAUUGACUUUUAAGAGCUUGGCAAAGGCCCUCCCAUUGUACCAUAGGUACACUUUUGUGGUACCGCCAAAACCAUUCGCUUGCGGUUCCUUCAAAAAGGUUGCUGGCAUACCGCGCAAGCAAUUCGAAAUUGCCCUGCAGCGUUUGGGAUGUCAAUGCCUCGACCCGAUAGAUAAAGUCGUCGACGCCUAAAACAGAUUUACCAGAAAAUCGAAGUUUCCAAUUAAAAAUAAUUUGGCUAAUUCGAUCUGGGCGCAAGUCCGAACCAUUAGGAGUAUUUCUAUUUUCCGGCGGUAGACCAAGACCAUUCGAUGGAAACAAGGUAGCAGAAUUUUGAUGGCUGGGAACUCCAGGAUCAGUUUGCUGUCUAAAAGUUGGUGGUGGAGUUGGAUUGGAGCAUUGAACAUACCCAGUAGGAGAUAAUCUCUCGAACCCUGUCUGUAAGGCUUGGAUUAUCAAAUCGGUCUGUCGAGCUGUGGCUUGUG
Molecule: long non-coding RNA, 590 nt
Filed under: Drosophila guanche
Lineage: Eukaryota; Metazoa; Arthropoda; Insecta; Diptera; Drosophilidae
Source: RNAcentral